UGGGGAAUAUUGCACAAUGGGGGAAACCCUGAUGCAGCGACGCCGCGUGAAGGAAGAAGUAUCUCGGUAUGUAAACUUCUAUCAGCAGGGAAGAUAGUGACGGUACCUGACUAAGAAGCCCCGACUAACUACGUGCC
Molecule: ribosomal RNA, 137 nt
Filed under: uncultured bacterium
Lineage: Bacteria
Description: partial 16S ribosomal RNA
Rfam family: Bacterial small subunit ribosomal RNA
Source: RNAcentral